AUGGCCAUAUCAUGUUGAAAUACCGAUUCUCAUACGAUCAAUGAAGUUAGGCAAAGUAAAGCUUGGUUAGUACUUUGGUGAGUGACCACUUUGGAAUAUCAGUUGCUGUAA
Molecule: non-coding RNA, 111 nt
Organism: Acanthosepion pharaonis
Lineage: Eukaryota; Metazoa; Mollusca; Cephalopoda; Sepiida; Sepiidae
Source: the annotation of a GenBank genome assembly